UACGUAGGGACCGAGCGUUGUCCGGAAUCAUUGGGCGUAAAGAGCGUGUAGGCGGCCCGAUAAGUCCGCUGUGAAAGUCCAGGGCUCAACCCUGGGAUGCCGGUGGAUACUGUCGGGCUCGAGUCCGGAAGAGGAGUGUGGAAUUCCUGGUGUAGCGGUGAAAUGCGCAGAUAUCAGGAGGAACACCAAUGGCGAAGGCAGCACUCUGGGACGUGACUGACGCUGAGACGCGAAAGCGUGGGGAGCAAACAGG
Molecule: ribosomal RNA, 253 nt
Filed under: uncultured bacterium
Lineage: Bacteria
Description: partial 16S ribosomal RNA
Rfam family: Bacterial small subunit ribosomal RNA
Source: RNAcentral